This 2433-nucleotide ribosomal RNA is filed under the name Triticum aestivum (bread wheat). Its description in RNAcentral is "partial small subunit ribosomal RNA". The record is from RNAcentral. Lineage: Eukaryota; Viridiplantae; Streptophyta; Magnoliopsida; Poales; Poaceae.
AUGUUGGUGGAAAUAAGCUACUUGAAGAAGUGCACAGUUGUUGUUCUGCUGAUUCCAUCUGUGUUAGCAAUAAGAUGUUUCUCGGCUACCACGCCAAGAGACACCAUCGCGUUCAAUGAAUCCAUUUCUGAUGGGCAGAGCCUUGUUUCUAGUGACAAGAAAUUUGUGCUUGGAUUCUUUAGCCCUGGAGCUUCAAGCCACCGAUAUAUUGGUAUAUGGUAUAACAGUACUCCAAAUGGAACGGUUGUAUGGGUUGCUAACAGGAAUGAUCCAGUAUAUGAUAAGUCCGGUGUACUUAAGUUUGAUGAUGUCGGUAAUCUGAUAGUCCAAAAUGGCACAGGCAGCUCGUCUAUAGUUGCUUUUGGUUCUGGGGUGGGAGUGAGGGACAGGGAGGCUGCAAUACUGUAUACUGGCAACUUGGUGCUAAGGAGCAUGGCCAACCAUUCAAAUAUCAUAUGGGAUAGCUUUGCCUAUCCUACUGAUACAUGGCUCCCUGGAAUGAAUAUUACACUUAGAAAUUUGCUGACAUCAUGGAAGAGCUAUGAUGAUCCAGCAACGGGAGAUUACACUUUUGGUUUUGGACCGAGCAUAAUUAAUAGAUCAGCAUCACAAUUCAUUAUUAACUGGAAUCGGAAUUCAUUUUGGACAAGUGCAUCCUGGAAUGGUGACACGAAUUCUCUCAUUCCAGAACUGAAAUCUAUGAGUAUCAUCCCUGUUUCAUUUCAGUGUGACAACCUUACAUGCAUGUACACUCCCAACCCUGCUGGCAUAAUGACUAAGAUUGUUUUGGAUCAAAGUGGUUCACUGAACAUAACACAGUUCGAUCCGGAAACCAAAUUGUGGACAUUGUUAUGGAGACAUCCAGAUAGUUGUGAUGUGUCUAAUUUAUGUGGAGUUAAUGGUGUAUGCAACAACAGUAUGUCCGUAUCAGCAUCAGAAUCCAUUUGUCGGUGUCCAGAAGGAUUUGCAGCACAAGACCAAUCAAAUUCUAGGAAAGGGUGCACCAGACAAACCCCACUGCAGUGUAAUGGUGAUAGGUUUAUUGAUAUGCUUAAUAUGACAGUUCCUGGCAACAGACAGAAGCUGUCAGUUGUGGGAAAAAGUGAAUGUGAAUUUGCCUGUAUGAAAAGUUGCUCUUGUACGGCAUAUGCUCAUUCGCUCUCCGAUGUUUGCAGCUUAUGGCAUGGCAAUCUAACAAACUUGCAGGAUGGAGUUGAAACUCUUCAUCUUCGUAUAGCUGCAUCAGAAUUACAUGGUCACAAAAUGCUUUGGAUAGCAUAUAUACUUCCGCCAGUUGCAUUCCUUGUCUUUUGUCUCAUCUCUUUUAUUUGGAUUAGGAGAAGGAAAAAUAAAGGGAAAAGAAAACAGCCUGAUCACCCCCUCGUCAUGACUUCAGAUGUGAUGAAGCUAUGGGAGAGCGAAGACACAGGCUCUCACUUUAUGAUGCUUUCCUUUUCACAGAUAGAAAAUGCCACAGACAACUUCUCAACUGAAAACAAGCUUGGAGAGGGAGGGUUUGGCCCUGUGUACAAGGGCAACUUACCAAAUGGACAAGAUGUUGCUGUUAAGAGACUUGCAGCGAAUUCAGGUCAAGGACUACCAGAGUUUAAGAAUGAAAUCUUGUUAAUAGCCAAGCUUCAACACAGCAAUUUAGUGGGACUCCUAGGUUGCUGCAUUGACGGGGAAGAAAUGUUACUAAUCUAUGAGUAUAUGCCAAACAAAAGCUUGGAUUUCUUCCUAUUUGACCAAUCGAGAAGAGCUUUUUUAGUCUGGGCAAUGCGUCUUAACAUAAUUGAAGGGAUCGCACAAGGUCUUAUUUAUCUCCACAAGCAUUCUCGGCUAAGAAUUAUUCACAGGGACCUGAAACCAAGCAACAUUCUGCUGGACACUGAUAUGAACCCUAAGAUCUCAGAUUUUGGAAUGGCAAGAAUAUUUGAUCCUAAAGGAGGACUAGCUAACACGAAAAGAGUCGUUGGAACAUAUGGCUACAUGGCCCCCGAAUAUGCCAUGGCAGGUAUUUUCUCUGUCAAGUCCGAUGUAUUUAGCUACGGGGUACUGCUUCUGGAGAUCGUCAGUGGGCUAAGAAAUGCCGCAGCUCAUGGACAUGGAAACUCCCUAAACCUCCUUGGUCACGCAUGGGAGCUGUGGAAAGAAGGCAGAUGGCGCGAACUCAUUGAUAAAUCGUUGCACGGUGCAUGUCCUGAGAAUAUGGUGCUACGAUGCAUUCACGUCGGCCUGUUGUGCGUUCAGGAGAAUGCUGCUGAUCGGCCCUCCAUGGCCGAAGUCAUUUCCAUGAUUACUAGCGAAAAUGCCACCUUGCCGGCCCCAAAACAACCUGGUUUCGUAUCCAUGUUGCUUCCAACUGAAGCUGAUGUCCCUGAAGGAAGCUGCUCUCUGAAUGAUUUGUCAAUUACUGGCCUGGAUGGCAGGUAG